RNAcentral lists this transfer RNA (75 nucleotides) under Navicula ramosissima. RNAcentral's name for it is "tRNA-Arg". It matches the Rfam family "tRNA". From Rfam's summary of the family: Transfer RNA (tRNA) molecules are approximately 80 nucleotides in length. Their secondary structure includes four short double-helical elements and three loops (D, anti-codon, and T loops). The record is from RNAcentral. Lineage: Eukaryota; Bacillariophyta; Bacillariophyceae; Naviculales; Naviculaceae.
GCGGUUGUAGCUUAAUUUGGAUAGAGCGUCGGAUUUCGGUCCCGAAGGUUGUAGGUUCAAUUCCUACCAAACGUA